This 459-nucleotide ribosomal RNA is filed under the name uncultured bacterium. Its description in RNAcentral is "partial 16S ribosomal RNA". It matches the Rfam family "Bacterial small subunit ribosomal RNA", at positions 28 to 523 of the family's 1533-position model. The record is from RNAcentral.
GGUGAACGCUGGCGGCGUGCCUAAUACAUGCAAGUCGAGCGGUAAGGCCUCUUCGGAGGUACACGAGCGGCGGACGGCUGAGUAACACGUAGGAACGUACCCCAACGUGAGGAAUAAGCACCAGAAAUGGUGUCUAAUACCGCAUGUGCUCUAAGGCGUAAAGCUUCGGCGCUUUGGGAACGGCCUGCGCAUGAUUAGCUUGUUGGUGAGGUAAAAGCUCACCAAGGCGACGAUCAUUAGCUGGUCUGAGAGGAUGAUCAGCCAGACUGGGACUGAGACACGGCCCAGACUCCUACGGGAGGCAGCAGUAGGGAAUUUUCCACAAUGGGCGAAAGCCUGAUGGAGCAACGCCGCGUGCAGGAUGAAUGCCUUCGGGUUGUAAACUGCUUUUAUAUGUGACGAUUAUGACGGUAGCAUAUGAAUAAGGAUCGGCUAACUCCGUGCCAGCCGCCGCAGUAA